UCAGCUCUGAAGUCAAACCCCUCACAUCUGAAAGAGCUGGAUCUGAGUAACAAUGUCCUUAAGGAUUCAGGAGUGAAGCUGCUCUCUGCUAUGUUGGAUGAUCCACAAUGUAGACUGGAGACUCUGAGGCUGUCAUUCUGUGGAGUCACAGAGGAAGGCUGUGAUUUGCUGGCCUCAGCUCUGAUGUCAAACUCCUGUCACCUAAGAGAGCUUGACCUGAGUAACAAUGACCUGGGGAAUUCAGGAGUGAAGCAUCUCUCUUCUGGACUGGGAAAUCCACAUUGUAAACUGGAAACACUGAGGUUGUCAGGCUGUCUGGUCACAGAGGAAGGCUGUGUUUCUCU
Long non-coding RNA from Esox lucius (northern pike), 344 nucleotides. RefSeq lists it as uncharacterized. The record is from RefSeq and is a predicted model, not a curated record. Lineage: Eukaryota; Metazoa; Chordata; Actinopteri; Esociformes; Esocidae. The transcript has 3 exons.